GGGGGGGGGUGGGGGGGGGGGUGGGGGGGGCGGGGCGGACGGGGGGGCGCGGGUGGUGUGGGGUGCGCGGGUGGCGCGCGGGGGCGUGGACAGUGGGUCGGCUGCCCUUGGGUUUGGGAUAGAUUCCGGGAGCUGGGGCUCAUCCCUGGUAGGCGCUUCGUCUUCCUUGUGGUGGUUGGACAGUUUCGGCGGUUGGGGAUGGACUCGCGGCUUAUCAGAUUGUUGUUGGGGUAGGGGCUUACCAAGGCUUUGACGGGUAGCCGGCCUGAGAGGGUGACCGGCCACAUUGGGACUGAGAUACGGCCCAGACUCCUACGGGAGGCAGCAGUGGGGAAUAUUGCACAAUGGGCGGAAGCCUGAUGCAGCAACGCCGCGUGCGGGAUGACGGCCUUCGGGUUGUAAACCGCUUUCGCCUGUGACGAAGCGUGAGUGACGGUAAUGGGUAAAGAAGCACCGGCUAACUACGUG
RNAcentral lists this ribosomal RNA (468 nucleotides) under uncultured bacterium. RNAcentral describes it as "partial 16S ribosomal RNA". The stretch from base 48 to 468 matches the Rfam family "Bacterial small subunit ribosomal RNA", at positions 34 to 507 of the family's 1533-position model. The record is from RNAcentral.